This 495-nucleotide ribosomal RNA is filed under the name uncultured bacterium. RNAcentral describes it as "partial 16S ribosomal RNA". It matches the Rfam family "Bacterial small subunit ribosomal RNA", at positions 28 to 507 of the family's 1533-position model. The record is from RNAcentral.
GACGAACGCUGGCGGCGUGCCUAAUACAUGCAAGUAGAACGCUGAAGGAGGAGCUUGCUUCUCUGGAUGAGUUGCGAACGGGUGAGUAACGCGUAGGUAACCUGCCUGGUAGCGGGGGAUAACUAUUGGAAACGAUAGCUAAUACCGCAUAAUAGUAGAUGUUGCAUGACAUUUGCUUAAAAGGUGCAAUUGCAUCACUACCAGAUGGACCUGCGUUGUAUUAGCUAGUUGGUGGGGUAACGGCUCACCAAGGCGACGAUACAUAGCCGACCUGAGAGGGUGAUCGGCCACACUGGGACUGAGACACGGCCCAGACUCCUACGGGAGGCAGCAGUAGGGAAUCUUCGGCAAUGGAUGGAAGUCUGACCGAGCAACGCCGCGUGAGUGAAGAAGGUUUUCGGAUCGUAAAGCUCUGUUGUAAGAGAAGAACGAGUGUGAGAGUGGAAAGUUCACACUGUGACGGUAUCUUACCAGAAAGGGACGGCUAACUACGUG